CGGGGCUUGUGCGCUUCUGCAUGGAUUGACACGCUCCCGGCUGUUUCCAGAGGUGAGAACUGCAGGUGGUCACAAUUCAUUGGCAGGGAAUGAGGUCAAACAUGAUGUACACGUGAAUAUUAAGAAAAAACAUCACAUUCCAAUAAUUAUUAAACGCGAAAAAAUGGAAUUUGGGUAGAACACCUCGAAGGACACGUCAGCCCUACACGACAACCUGGAGGCCCGCCGCACAGGUUGAGGACCACUGAAUUAAAGGGAAGGUUUGUUCCUUUUUUGUUACGAGAGAUAAGAAUUGUUUAAAACAUUUAUCAAUUAAUUCCUUAUUCCUUACUGGUACAAGAAACUAUAGGAGGACUAAAUCUGAUGCCCAUCAGAGGGUUUACACCUCUUUCCUCUUUUGUGCCCUUGAUAUUAAAAUGUAAAUUAUAGUAUGUCUGAGUACCUUAAGUACAUGUGAUAUAGAUAAAUGCCAUUUCAGUUAAUUAAAUAAGAAAACAGAAUAAGAAUUUACAUGCACUCUUUUAAAUUUAGAGUAAGAAUAUGCUGCAAUCUUAAAAAUAAAGGUGCCAUCGUGGUUCUUCAGACCAAUGCCGUAGGGGAAACAUUCCUAGUUCCCAAAAGACCAAUCUGCAUGAAGGUUCCAGAAAGAACUAUUUUUUAUUUAGAUCUGUAACAGGCUCCAUACUGUAAAUAACUAUGAGUAAAUGUUAACAAAUGUUGUGAUUUUAGAAGGACUCUUGCUGCAUACAGGUUAUGUCCAUGUUUUCUUAACUCUGUUAGUAAAAUGUUAUAUAUAUUAAAAAUUUUGUCUACAUUUUAGGACAUUUUUCAAACCACAAAUAACCAACUUCAUAUGCGAAGUACCCAUCCUAGAAUUAAAUGGUGCUUUGUCAAGCAAAGGUUCAGUAAGGAA
Polypterus senegalus (gray bichir) is the source of this 913-nucleotide long non-coding RNA. RefSeq lists it as uncharacterized. The record is from RefSeq and is a predicted model, not a curated record. The transcript is spliced from 3 exons. Lineage: Eukaryota; Metazoa; Chordata; Cladistia; Polypteriformes; Polypteridae.